UGGGGAAUAUUGCACAAUGGGGGAAACCCUGAUGCAGCGACGCCGCGUGAAGGAAGAAGUAUUUCGGUAUGUAAACUUCUAUCAGCAGGGAAGAAAAUGACGGUACCUGACUAAGAAGUCCCGGCUAACUACGUGCCAGCAGCCGCGGUAAUACGUAGGGGGCAAGCGUUAUCCGGAUUUACUGGGUGUAAAGGGAGCGUAGGCGGCAUGGCAAGCCAGAUGUGAAAGGCCGGGGCUCAACCCCGGGACUGCAUUUGGAACUGUCAGGCUUGAGUGUUGGAGAGGUAAGCGGAAUUCCUAGUGUAGCGGUGAAAUGCGUAGAUAUUAGGAGGAACACCAGUGGCGAAGGCGGCUUACUGGACAAUAACUGACGCUGAGGCUCGAAAGCGUGGGGAGCAAACA
Molecule: ribosomal RNA, 402 nt
Filed under: uncultured bacterium
Lineage: Bacteria
Description: bacterial SSU rRNA
Rfam family: Bacterial small subunit ribosomal RNA
Source: RNAcentral